UUAGCUCAUAUUUGUAUGGAAUAGGAUCGUUUGCCUACGUUUGCCGUUAGGGGCGCUGUUCCAACUGCAUACAAAAUUGGGUUA
RNAcentral lists this microRNA precursor (84 nucleotides) under Bombyx mori (domestic silkworm). RNAcentral's name for it is "mir-2807 microRNA precursor family". It matches the Rfam family "mir-2807 microRNA precursor family". The record is from Rfam by way of RNAcentral. Lineage: Eukaryota; Metazoa; Arthropoda; Insecta; Lepidoptera; Bombycidae.